RNAcentral lists this ribosomal RNA (253 nucleotides) under uncultured bacterium. RNAcentral describes it as "partial 16S ribosomal RNA". It matches the Rfam family "Bacterial small subunit ribosomal RNA", at positions 524 to 776 of the family's 1533-position model. The record is from RNAcentral.
UACGUAGGGGGCAAGCGUUGUCCGGAAUCAUUGGGCGUAAAGCGCGUGUAGGCGGUUACGUAAGUCUGUUGUGAAAACUCGAGGCUCAACCUCGAGACGUCGAUGGAAACCAUCUAGCUAGAGUCCGGAAGAGGAGAGUGGAAUUCCUGGUGUAGCGGUGAAAUGCGCAGAUAUCAGGAAGAACACCCGUGGCGAAGGCGGCUCUCUGGUACGUGACUGACGCUGAGGCACGAAAGCGUGGGGAGCAAACAGG